This 122-nucleotide ribosomal RNA is filed under the name Corynebacterium mastitidis. Lineage: Bacteria; Bacillati; Actinomycetota; Actinomycetes; Mycobacteriales; Corynebacteriaceae. The record is from RNAcentral.
GUGUUGGUGGUUGAUGGUGGUGGGGAAACGCCCGGUCCCUUUUCGAACCCGGUAGCUAAGCCCAUUUCAUGCUGAUGGUACUGCACUCGUUGGGGUGUGGGAGAGUAGGUUGCCGCCAACAC